AUGAACGCUGGCGGCGUGCCUAAUACAUGCAAGUCGAGCGAACGGACGAGAAGCUUCUUCUCUGAUGUUAGCGGCGGACGGGUGAGUAACACGUGGAUAACCUACCUAUAAGACUGGGAUAACUUCGGGAAACCGGAGCUAAUACCGGAUAAUAUUUUGAACCGCAUGGUUCAAAAGUGAAAGACGGUCUUGCUGUCACUUAUAGAUGGAUCCGCGCUGCAUUAGCUAGUUGGUAAGGUAACGGCUUACCAAGGCAACGAUGCAUAGCCGACCUGAGAGGGUGAUCGGCCACACUGGAACUGAGACACGGUCCAGACUCCUACGGGAGGCAGCAGUAGGGAAUCUUCCGCAAUGGGCGAAAGCCUGACGGAGCAACGCCGCGUGAGUGAUGAAGGUCUUCGGAUCGUAAAACUCUGUUAUUAGGGAAGAACAUAUGUGUAAGUAACUGUGCACAUCUUGACGGUACCUAAUCAGAAAGCCACGGCUAACUACGUG
This 495-nucleotide ribosomal RNA is filed under the name uncultured bacterium. Its description in RNAcentral is "partial 16S ribosomal RNA". It matches the Rfam family "Bacterial small subunit ribosomal RNA", at positions 29 to 507 of the family's 1533-position model. The record is from RNAcentral.